This 449-nucleotide ribosomal RNA is filed under the name uncultured bacterium. RNAcentral's name for it is "partial 16S ribosomal RNA". It matches the Rfam family "Bacterial small subunit ribosomal RNA", at positions 29 to 523 of the family's 1533-position model. The record is from RNAcentral.
AACGAACGCUGGCGGCAGGCCUAACACAUGCAAGUCGAACGCCCUAGCAAUAGGGAGUGGCAGACGGGUGAGUAACGCGUGGGAACCUUCCCAUUGGUACGGAAUAGCCCAGGGAAACUUGGAAUAAUACCGUAUAAGCCCGAAAGGGGAAAGAUUUAUCGCCGAUGGAUGGGCCCGCGUAGGAUUAGCUAGUUGGUGAGGUAAUGGCUCACCAAGACGACGAUCCUUAGCUGGUCUGAGAGGACGAUCAGCCACACUGGGACUGAGACACGGCCCAGACUCCUACGGGAGGCAGCAGUGGGGAAUAUUGGACAAUGGGCGCAAGCCUGAUCCAGCCAUGCCGCGUGAGUGACGAAGGCCUUAGGGUUGUAAAGCUCUUUUGGCGGGGACGAUAAUGACGGUACCCGCAGAAUAAGCCCCGGCUAACUUCGUGCCAGCAGCCGCCGCGG